AGAACGAACGCUGGCGGCAUGCCUAACACAUGCAAGUCGAACGAGGGCCCCGCUUCGGUGGGACCCUAGUGGCGCACGGGUGAGUAACGCGUGGGAACCUGCCCUGUGGUACGGAAUAACUCCGGGAAACUGGAGCUAAUACCGUAUGUGUCCUAUGGGACAAAGAUUUAUCGCCAUGGGAUGGGCCCGCGUAGGAUUAGC
This 201-nucleotide ribosomal RNA is filed under the name uncultured soil bacterium. RNAcentral's name for it is "partial 16S ribosomal RNA". It matches the Rfam family "Bacterial small subunit ribosomal RNA", at positions 26 to 245 of the family's 1533-position model. The record is from RNAcentral.